Molecule: ribosomal RNA, 497 nt
Filed under: uncultured bacterium
Lineage: Bacteria
Description: partial 16S ribosomal RNA
Rfam family: Bacterial small subunit ribosomal RNA
Source: RNAcentral
GAUGAACGCUGGCGGCGUGCCUAAUACAUGCAAGUCGAGCGAACAGACGAGGAGCUUGCUCCUCUGACGUUAGCGGCGGACGGGUGAGUAACACGUGGAUAACCUACCUAUAAGACUGGGAUAACUUCGGGAAACCGGAGCUAAUACCGGAUAAUAUAUUGAACCGCAUGGUUCAAUAGUGAAAGACGGUUUUGCUGUCACUUAUAGAUGGAUCCGCGCCGCAUUAGCUAGUUGGUAAGGUAACGGCUUACCAAGGCAACGAUGCGUAGCCGACCUGAGAGGGUGAUCGGCCACACUGGAACUGAGACACGGUCCAGACUCCUACGGGAGGCAGCAGUAGGGAAUCUUCCGCAAUGGGCGAAAGCCUGACGGAGCAACGCCGCGUGAAUGAUGAAGGUCUUCGGAUCGUAAAACUCUGCUAUUAGGGAAGAACAAAUGUGUAAGUAACUAUGCACGUCUUGACGGUACCUAAUCAGAAAGCCACGGCUAACUACGUG